GACGAACGCUGGCGGCGUGCUUAACACAUGCAAGUCGAACGGAAAGGCCCUGCUUUUGUGGGGUUUUCGCGUGGCGAACGGGUGAGUAACACGUGAGUAACCUGCCCUUGACUUUGGGAUAACUUCAGGAAACUGGGGCUAACACCGGAUAGGAGCUCCUGCUGCAUGGUGGGGGUUGGAAAGUUUCGGCGGUUGGGGAUGGACUCGCGGGUUAUCAGCUUGUUGGUGGGGUAGUGGCUUACCAAUGCUUUGACGGGUAGCCAGCCUGAGUGGGUGACCGGCCACAUUGGCACUGAGAUAGGGCCCAGACGCGUACGGGCGGCAGCAGUGGGAAAUAUUGCACAAUGAGCGGAAGCCUGAUGCAGCGCCGCCGCGUUCGGAAUGACCGCUUUCGGGUUAUAAACCGCUUUCGCCUGUUACGAAGCGGGAGUGACGGUACCAGGUGAAGAAGCACCGGCUAACUCCGUG
This 468-nucleotide ribosomal RNA is filed under the name uncultured bacterium. Its description in RNAcentral is "partial 16S ribosomal RNA". It matches the Rfam family "Bacterial small subunit ribosomal RNA", at positions 28 to 507 of the family's 1533-position model. The record is from RNAcentral.